UGAAAUGAGUGUGAUCCAGUCCCACAAAAUGACGUACUUGCUGCCAAUAACUCUUAAGACUGAUUUGAUUUUCUCAACAUAUGACAAAAUGGGUUUCGAUUUUGUCUCACAAAAUCACCAUAAAAGCAGCCAAGCUAGCUACUCCCUUCAUUCAAAGCUAGCUGUAUAUAUAGGUCCUCCAUUCCCUAGUACAUCACAAAUCAACAAAAAAUUAAAUAAAUUUAAAUUUAAAGGUUUAAUUUCAAUUCCCAUAAACCAAAGAAACAGACUUCAAAUUUAACAUUAAUGAAAGCAUCGUGACGUUACAGAAGGUCACUAAAAUCAAUUAUCAAGAAGAAUAUGAUAAGAAUUAAAUCACAUGUGUACUAGAGUAGUUACAAAAAUAAAUAUGAACAAAUAAAUACCACCAUAUACAGUGAAUUAGUUAUAUAUGACCUUCAUUAUAUUUUCUAGAUCUUUAGCAGCUAUAUUUUCUUUUCUUUUUAGUUAAAUGAAACUUGUGCGCAGAAAAAUGACAUUAUUCGAACCAUUUCAGCACUUGCUACCUCAUAAUCAAUUACCCAGAAUUCUAUAAAUUGUUAAUUAAUAUUACUCUCAUUUUGCAGCAAAUCAUAAUUUAAAUCUCUUGUAUUUUUCAACCCAUUUUCAGAUUAAUAUAUGCGCACCCAAUUUAGUAUCAUUGUCUCUAUACAUUGAGUGGCAAACUGCCAAAGUCAUCUAAUCUUUAGCAACCAUAGCAUAUGAAAGUUCAUAACAUCACCUCAUGCUUUCAUGCUUAUCAAUAAUUAAUUAAUCACCUUCAGUUAUCGUAAUAUCUUUAUCAUCUUCAUUUACUCUCAAAAUUCAUGUUAAAUAAUGUUGAGUGCACCCAUGCCUCGACUAAGACCAUUAUAAGUUAAUAUAUACGCCGAAUUCCUCACCGAUGAGAACUCUUGUAAUAUAUUUUGAAGUGCGAAUCCAGACUAUAAACCAUUGUUUAGACUUUAGAACCAAAACGCUCGAGACAUCCGCAAUUGAGAAAUAUUAUGUUUAAUUAAUAUUGUCAUUUAUGAGUUUUAAAUACCUUCCAAAGUGGGCAUAGAUUUUCAUCAAGCUACGCUAUAACAAAAUUUAUGUAUGCAAAAAAUUAAAUCCUAGCUUAUCAUCUAACUAUUGAUGCUAAUAGUUUCAUGAACAACAAUAAUAAUGAUCAAAAUCCCCAACAACAACAUUUUGUUUUUAGAAUUUUCUGUGAUUUCACUAAAAUUUAUUUUCUGUUUCCAAAAACAUUGUGACAACUCAAGAACUUUAGCAUGAGAAUUCCCUGCUUUGAAUUUGGUAUCACUAAUUAUUGACUAUAGUCCAUAAAUUAAGGUCAAUAUUGAUCCUUUAGUCUCCCUAGUUUAAGUUAAUUAUCUUCUAAUCACUCCCUACUAUAAUUUUAAAAUCGUUCAAAAAGUUCUCUAUCAUUACUCCUAUACCUUAAUUUUUCAACGACAAAAUGGUAUUUUUAUCUAAUANNNNNNNNNNNNNNNNNNNNNNNNNNNNNNNNNNNNNNNNNNNNNNNNNNNNNNNNNNNNNNNNNNNNNNNNNNNNNNNNNNNNNNNNNNNNNNNNNNNNAGAUAGACAUGCAGCAUUUAAAAAAUAGAGAAGAAUAAGACAAGUUUUAAUGAAAAUAUUUAUAUAAUGCAGGCCUUUCAGAUAAUUUUUAAAGUACAAAAACUAAGUUUAUAAUUAUUCGCUCAAACUAUAGAGACUAAAUAAGUAUUUUUAUUUUGAUUAAUUUUUUAACUUUCUCACCUUCUUAAAUUUUGAAUUUAAGUGCCUAGCAAAAAAAAAAAAAAAUUAUGGGGCCGGUUUAUUGUUUAUACUUCGUUUUACUUAAUAAUAUUAUUGUUUAGAUCUUAUUGUACUAAUCCUUAACAACAACAGCGGCAAAAGUGUAAAUAAUGAUCCAAUCCUGUGAUGAGUGUCUUCCCAAUGCUUGAAGCAAUCUAUAAAUAAUUAAUAGUACAUUGAAUUAAUGAGCUUUCUAGCAUCCAUUUUAGGCCCCAACAAGAGCCAAUUUCACUUUUUUCUAUCUUUUUCCAUAUUUUGGCAAAUUGAAUUAUCUCCCUCUCAAAGCAAGUCGCUGUAGUGAUCCUGAUUUUGAGGACAGCCAUGGAUGCCUUGAAUUUCAUAACCCUAAUUAUAAUUUUUUUUUUUAAAUUUCUCUUUUAUUUCUUCUUCACUUUUUGUAUGGCGUCGAAAAACGAAAUGCAAUGAAAUUAAUGGGUGUUUUCCAAAUUUACUAACUAUUUUGAUAAAGCAAACUUCUCUUGUGACAACAGGCUAACACCACCUUUUUUGGGCAUCUUGCUGGUCCAUCAUCUAAGGUUUGUCUUUGGUCUCUCUAAUAAAAUCCUUUCUUGGAAAAUAUCAUUGGACUAUUUACUUAGGGUUUUGUGAUUGUCAGAUAACAUUUUGCAAAAAUUAUUUAAACUAAAAUUAAAUUCCUUAGUUGAUCCGUUGAGGUUUACUAAUAAAAAUAAAAAUUAAACUCCUUAAUUCAUCCAUUGUUUCAAAAAUUUUAAAUAAAGUCAUGACUUGUUUUUUUCCUCUCUUCAACUAGGCUUUCAGCACCUUGAGUUUCAGCACACUCAAAAGGUACGGUAUAUGAGAGUAAAUUUGCCAUACUCCUUAUUUACUUUUGACUACACAUCAUUAAUUGCUUUCCUAGCACUUUGUCUUCCUCUAGAAAUUAACUUGCAGAAUUAUUUUUUUCUUUUUCAUUUUUUAUUGUGAAACUUUUUUUUUUUCCAAAGAAAUUUUUUACUGUAAAAUUUAUUAUGUAUACGCACGUCGGUACUCGCACGACAGACUUUUCAUUGUCGUCUUUGAACAAGAUAUGAGAUUUUCUUUUACAUUCAAGAAAUCUUUGGAUAAUCUUGAUCCAUGAUCUAUGUGACUAAUAAUAACAUGCAAGUUUGUUAGGUUUUGUAUAAUAAGGUGAGUCCAAGCCAUAGUUUAUUAAGCCAUGAUGAUAACGAGAGAAUUUACAAAAACUGUGAUGUAUGACCUAUUAUUAUCUCUCUCAAAAUUCGAAUUCGGAUGAUCAACUAAAUAAUAAAUUUGGAUGAUCAACUAAAUAAUAAAUUGAUUGAAAAUCAUUACGGCACACACUUGGUUAUUCUUGUAAUGUUAUACAUGUAACUUAUAGUGUUACAUAUGUAGGGAGAAUGCCCAGUUAUUAUUUUGAUUAGUUGAAUUUAUUGUGUUUGUUAUAUUCUUUUGUUCAUUCUCAAAAUUAGCUAACUAAUAUUUAUUAUCUUUAAUAAUUAUUUAAUUAAUUCUUUGGAUCGUCAAGAUUAAUUAUUAAAAAAAAAACCCAAAAUGCUCUCUUUCAGUCUACAAAUUGCAAAAAUAAAUAUUUUAUGCAUACAAUUAUAAUCAAUAAAUAUAUGUCUAGAUUUAACCCCCCGAAAAAAUCCACUAUUGAGUAUAUAUUCAUUUUAUUUUGAAUUUUUUAAUCUACAAACUCAUUCAUAACAGUUAUGUUUACAUCAUAUGUUUUGGAAACACGCCCAAGUGAAACCCUAAAAUGAUUGCUUUGUGCAUGCGCAAGCUAAUAAGUGUAGAACAAAAUAUUUGAUACAAUAUUGAAAGUGACUUGCAGUGCCUCGCUUGAAUACAAAAGACGACAUAAGAUACCAACUGUGUCAUGCACCGUCUGAUCGAGAUUGGAUGGUGAUGCAAAUUUUAAAGAGUCAAACCUCUUUCUUUCCAUUGAUUGGCUCAAGUAAAUUUCAUGAUUGAUUGUUCCUCAGUUGCAGAACCAUUGAAAUUAUAUUGUAGGGUUUUCAUGAUAGCAAUGAAGUUUAAUUUUACAGUUUAAUCAAAGUCAUGCACAUGUUUAGUGGCCUCAGUUGCUUCAUUAAUUAGGCUAAAAAGUAAAAGAUAAUGGCACCUUCUUUGAGUUCAAAUGUUAUAAAAUGCCUGACAGUAAACUCAAAAUCAUGCUUGGAUUUGAAUUUUAGUACAUUUAUUGCCCUAUAAUUAGAUGGCAUAGCUUUAUAUAUACUUUUGAAACAAAUAUUAAGGGAUAAAGAUCCUCUCUUGGUCUGAACUCUCAUGAGUUUUUAAUGAUCUUGUGCCAUGUGUAUUUAAGUGAUAGUGUAUGGAUAUGAUUUAAUUUUUUCAUUUUCUUUAUUUAUUAACUAUCAAUCACCCAUAUGUAUUUUUACUCAGGAAAAGAUAUCAUGAGAGAAUCUUAAUCUAAUAUUAAGUGUAGGUUGAUUAAUUAGUAUAGUAGGCAAUCAAUGAUUGCGGACAAAAACCCUAGAAAAGAAAAAAAAAACAUUACCAAUCUAAUUAUGUCACUUUUAGGUUGUUAUGUUUUGUUUCAUAAUGAGGAUUAAGAUGGGGGGUUUUCAAUUUCAGUUAGAUGAUUAAUGAUUACAAAUAAUUAAUGGUAAUUAUAAGCUAAAAGCCUAAAAUAUAUGCUAAACUGCAAUGCAUAUAUACAUAUGUAAUGAUAAUUUUUAACUACGGUGACCUUUAAAAGAACAAACAAGAAAAAAGAAAAAAGGCUAGCCAACCUAUAGCCAUCUUCACGCAAUGCCAAAAACACAUAAAAGUCCAACAUUGUCUGAAUUUCAACAGAAAAAGAGAUCAUCAUCAAGAACUGAAUGAGUAUUUAAUUAACAUAUACAUAAAAAUUAAAGGAGAAGCCCUAGGAUUUCAGUGCUUCAAAACGGUCACUCACGUAAAAAGAGAUUGAAUUGAAGCAAGAACCCUAAUAAAAGCUAAAUCACUGGUAGCAUAUAGGUGCAAUUCUUGACGCAGCUAGAUAUGGAGUACUUUCGCAGAAAAUUAGAAAAAUAAAAUUUCAACCCUUUGAUUCUUUUCACCUUUUGAUCCUUGUGGGCCCGCUCAACCUCUUCCCAUUUUUCUCUUUAAUUAUUN
RNAcentral lists this long non-coding RNA (4923 nucleotides) under Citrus x clementina. RNAcentral's name for it is "Citrus clementina (C. clementina) long non-coding RNA (CCLE_LNC002618)". The record is from RNAcentral. Lineage: Eukaryota; Viridiplantae; Streptophyta; Magnoliopsida; Sapindales; Rutaceae.